CAAGGCGUCAUCUUCAUAGAAUUAAGAUCAAUUGACAACGAAUCUCAAAUGGUGUAUCAAGGGGAAUCGACUCGCAAACUACGAUUUAAUAAAGAAGAGAACUCACCGCUUUUGAACUCCGAUGCAGUGAAUCUCCGGAAGAUCACCAGAAUUAUGCAGGUCAACAGUCUAUGUCGUCAUCUUCACAUAAAGCACCUGCAGUUGAACCAAAGUCAAAUACUAUAUUCAACACACCAGGAGGAAGUCCAAUCUCAUGAGAUAGUCUUGCUGUACACAACGCGGACAAUGGUGCCUGUUCAGCUGUUUUCAGAUUGACAGUGUUGCCAUACACCAAUACCGGCCCCAAUCAGAUCAGCAGCUAGUCACAUCUCCGAUUUAGGUGACUCCAAUGCUGAGUUCAACGAAAAGGGAAUAUGUAGCGGGGAUAAUGUUUGUUUAGGGAUCUAGUUAGAUAGGUGAAGAGAAUUUGAUGCCGAAGAUGUGAACUAGUCAUAGCAGUGCCUAAUGUCGUAGACACUGCUGCUGGAGGCAAAGCUGUAGACGGAAUCGACAAUGAUGUUGGAGAAACCGAUGGUGAGUCUUAUUGUAAAUGGGGUUAAAUAUGUAUGGCUUUGAUGUUGAAUUGUUGGAUUGUCACAAAUUGAAAUACACUGAAAGUUUGUAUUGUAGUAGUUAACUGUUUGUGUCUUAAUUCAAAUGGAAGUGCCCUGCUAGCAGUAUCGAUGUAAAUAGGUGAUUGUAGAAGUUCUUGACUAUUGUUGGCAAUGUUAAUUAGGAUGCGGCUUUUGUAAUUGCAAAUGGUUUGGAAAUGUUGUAACUUAAAAAAGUGAACAUGGAUUAGUUUGUGAAGGUUGAGUUGUGUAAUGGAUAUUUGGAAAGUUAUGGAAAUGUAUUUGAAUGUGUAUUGAAUA
Molecule: long non-coding RNA, 911 nt
Organism: Lathyrus oleraceus (garden pea)
Lineage: Eukaryota; Viridiplantae; Streptophyta; Magnoliopsida; Fabales; Fabaceae
Exons: 2
Source: RefSeq, a predicted model, not a curated record